RNAcentral lists this ribosomal RNA (727 nucleotides) under uncultured Alteromonas sp. Its description in RNAcentral is "bacterial SSU rRNA". It matches the Rfam family "Bacterial small subunit ribosomal RNA", at positions 8 to 732 of the family's 1533-position model. Lineage: Bacteria; Pseudomonadati; Pseudomonadota; Gammaproteobacteria; Alteromonadales; Alteromonadaceae. The record is from RNAcentral.
AGAGUUUGAUCCUGGCUCAGAUUGAACGCUGGCGGCAGGCCUAACACAUGCAAGUCGAACGGUAACAUUUCUAGCUUGCUAGAAGAUGACGAGUGGCGGACGGGUGAGUAAUGCUUGGGAACUUGCCUUUGCGAGGGGAAUAACAGUUGGAAACGACUGCUAAUACCGCAUAAUGUCUUCGGACCAAACGGGGCUUCGGCUCCGGCGCAAAGAGAGGCCCAAGUGAGAUUAGCUAGUUGGUAAGGUAACGGCUUACCAAGGCGACGAUCUCUAGCUGUUCUGAGAGGAAGAUCAGCCACACUGGGACUGAGACACGGCCCAGACUCCUACGGGAGGCAGCAGUGGGGAAUAUUGCACAAUGGGGGAAACCCUGAUGCAGCCAUGCCGCGUGUGUGAAGAAGGCCUUCGGGUUGUAAAGCACUUUCAGUUGUGAGGAAAAGUUAGUAGUUAAUACCUGCUAGCCGUGACGUUAACAACAGAAGAAGCACCGGCUAACUCCGUGCCAGCAGCCGCGGUAAUACGGAGGGUGCGAGCGUUAAUCGGAAUUACUGGGCGUAAAGCGCACGCAGGCGGUUUGUUAAGCUAGAUGUGAAAGCCCCGGGCUCAACCUGGGAUGGUCAUUUAGAACUGGCAGACUAGAGUCUUGGAGAGGGGAGUGGAAUUCCAGGUGUAGCGGUGAAAUGCGUAGAUAUCUGGAGGAACAUCAGUGGCGAAAGCGACUCCCUGG